Long non-coding RNA from Daphnia pulicaria, 2150 nucleotides. RefSeq lists it as uncharacterized. The transcript is spliced from 5 exons. The record is from RefSeq and is a predicted model, not a curated record. NCBI's taxonomy places the organism in Eukaryota, Metazoa, Arthropoda, Branchiopoda, Diplostraca, Daphniidae.
CAUAACCAUUUGGUAUUCAUUUUGAUAUUGGUUGUUGUAGACCCAUCCCCAGCAACGACAACCUGCAAAAGGAAAAGCACGUAAAACUUGUCAAAAAGAGACCUAUCCCCAGAAACUUCAACCUGUAAAAGGAAAGGGCAGUCCGCCUGUCCUUCACAUUCGAAGGUCACGUAGAUCAUUACAUAAAACGUGUCAUGCAGUGGUGUAGAGGCUGGGUGAGAACGGGACGUGUUUCAUCAUUUUCAAGCAGCUACAAUAGCCGCAAGGCUUAAGAGGUGAGGGUGAUCAAAAAAUCGCAUAAAAGGAGAGAGAAAAGGCCAAGGUAAAUCAGUCGAGGGGGCAUCUCCGACACGGCAACAACUGCAGCGCUCUGUCUGUCAGUUCGCAUCCAUGGGUAAAUAUUCUGUCUUUUACAUAUAGUUUGGUAUCAAUCCUUCUUUUGUUUAUGUAUGCUUGUUAUUAUGUAAUAUUUCUGUUAAAAUUUAUAAUUGUCUAGCAAACUAUGGCUUAGUGCUGCUGUUGUGUGUUGAAUCAUUGAUGGCUGGGUCGACCACUGGUGUACCGAAGUCUUCUUGGUAUGGCGGAUACCAAACCACAACGCCGCCGCCUUACUACCCAAAAGCAACUUACGCAACGACCAGUUACUGCACCGAAGUCUUCAAGUACUACACCACUAAAGCACCGGAAGCACAACUUACGAUUCCCCGAGCCACUACACUGACGCCCUGAAGUAUUACUCUGCCCCGAGUUACUACACCACCAAGGCGACAGAGGAUGACUACGCCUGCUGCCCCAUCCUCCGAGGCUCAUACACCCAGGUUCCUAAUUGCUACACCGAGGCUCCCGCUGAUUGCUACACCGAAGCGGUAAAGUACUACUCCGCCCCGAUCUACACAACCAUAACUGAGGCGGCCAAGUAUUGCGCUGUCCCGACUUACUGCACAGAAGCUGCUCUUUCGUACUACGUUGAACAGAUACUACACUGAUGCUCCAGUUCACUACACCACGACCUACGCUACACCGCAGCCCCCAAGUACUACACUGAAGAAGCCGCCUACAACAACGCAUGCUGCCUAGUUUACUACACCGAGGCUCCCAAGUACUACAUCACUAAGGCACCGGAAUUCUACACGUCUAUGUAUGCUACCCCUGCCUACUUCACCGAGGCCCCGCGUUACUACAACAGUGAAGCGCUCAAGUACUACACUACAACCUGCGCUUCCCCGAGCUACUACACCUACGUCCCGAAGUAUUACUGUGCGUAAAAGGAGUCUUCCAAAAAAAAGAAGUGCCCGAACUGCAGUGCCUUAUCUGUCACCAACUGCUUUCCUCAUCAUGUAACCGAUUCGCAAUAAUGGUCAACUAUGGUGUCGUGCUCCUGUUGGGUGUUGUAUCGUUGAUGGCUGGGUCGACUGUUGGUGUAGCGAUGUCUCCUUAGUGUGGCGGAAACCAAACCGCAACGCCGCCGCCUUCCUACUCAACUUACGCAACGACCAGUUUCUGCACCGAUGUCUUCAAGUACUACACCACCAAAGCACCGGAGUUUUAUACCACAACUUACGCUUCCCCGAGCCACUACACUGAUGCCCUGAAGUAUUACUCUGCCCUGAGUUACUACACCAUCUAGGCGACGGACGACACCACAUGACUACGUAUACUGCCUAUCCUACCACUCCGAGGCUUCUAACUGCUACACCGAGGCUCCCGCUGAUUUCUCCACCAAGACGGUCGAAUACUACACCGAAGCGGCAAAGUACUAAUCUGCCCCAAUCUACACAACCACAACUGAGGCGGAGAAGUAUUGCGCAGUCCCGACUUGCUACACAAAGCUGCUGUUACGUGUUACGUUGAACAGAAUUACUACACCGAUGCUCCAGUCUACUACACCACGACUUACGCUACACCUAGCUACAACACCGCAGCCCUAAAGUACUACACCGAAGAAGCCGCCUAUCACACAACUACGUACGCUGCCUAGUGUACUACGUCGACGAAAUUAAGUAUUGCCCUGCUCGAAACUACUACCAAACUUCAUAUUUAUUGCAAUUUCCACGACUAUGUCACCACUGCUCCGACCUAUAAACCGAAGUUCUGAAGUAUUUCUCUGUAUGUGUUGAAAGAUUGCUGAAAUACAAGAUUGAUUGAUAGAU